UUCCAUCAUUAGUGUAUUUAAUAGACUAAAUUACACAUUCUGUUAACAUCGGACUCCAGAGUGAUCCGUUCCUGCAAUUUUAGUCGAUGACAUUUCAGAUUUGGAUAUGAUAAUUUAUCAUGAAGUAAUUUGGAUGUACUGAUGUACCCAAGUGGCUUUAGUUAGGUAAACUCUAUUUUUUAUUAAAAAGGGUAGAAUUAAUGUGGCUUUACUUCUUCCAGUGUGAAGCAAUUAGUAGCUUGGUCAACUUAAUUUUUUAAGUUAAAAGCAGAUUCCCCAACGAUUCGCCAAACUCAGUCCUGGGUACCUCAAAGGGUGCACAUUUUGUUGUUUGUCCCUAGGGCUACACAGCUGAUUCAAAUAAUCAACUCGUCAAGCUUUGAUCAUUUGAAUCAGCUGUAUAGUGCUAGGGCAACCUGUCCUUACACACCUAAUUCCACUAAUCAAAAGGGCUUGAUGAGUAGAUUUAGUGUGUUAAUGCAUUAACUGAAACCUUCUCUCCAGGAUAUCACACGUUUCCCAUCUGAAAUUACUUCCUAUAGAAGAAGGAUAAAAAAAAGUAUUAUUAAAUGUAUUAGUUACAUUAUUACAUGUAUUAGUUACAUUAUUACAUGUAUUAGUUACAUUAAAUGUAUCAGUUACAUGAAUUUUCAUGUCAUCUGACCAUAGCAUCAGUUCCAAUCCAAGUGCCAAAGGUCACGCCAUAGUUAGCAUCUACGUAACACACAUGUGAUUCAGAGUCGCUUGAUGCUAUAUAUAUAUAUAUAUAUAUAUAUAUAUAUAUUACACACACACAAUGAGAAAUGGCUUUUUAGAGUUUAUCGAGUUCACUUCAUAAUGUUUCUAACUAGAUUCCAUCAGAAAUGAAGAUGGUUUAAACAAGCGUGACUGUUGCAACUUUUCUCCUUUUUUCUACAGCAAAUGACAUCUGCAGUAAGAGCAUUAGGGACUGUAGGGGUUAGAGUGUAGAGGGGGCAGGUAGCCUAGUGGUUAGAGUGUAGGGGCGGCAGGUAGCCUAGUGGUUAGAGUGUAGGGGCGGCAGGUAGCCUAGUGGUUAGAGUGUAGGGGGGGCAGGUAGUCUAGUGGUUAGAGUGUAGAGGGGGCAGGUAGCCUAGUGGUUAGAGUGUAGGGGCGGCAGGUAGCCUAGUGGUUAGAGUGUAGGGGCGGCAGGUAGCCUAGUGGUUAGAGUGUAGGGGCGGCAGGUAGCCUAGUGGUUAGAGUGUAGGGGCGGCAGGUAGCCUAGUGGUUAGAG
Molecule: long non-coding RNA, 1252 nt
Organism: Oncorhynchus tshawytscha (Chinook salmon)
Lineage: Eukaryota; Metazoa; Chordata; Actinopteri; Salmoniformes; Salmonidae
Source: Ensembl